RNAcentral lists this unclassified non-coding RNA (204 nucleotides) under uncultured Tomentella. Its description in RNAcentral is "sequence contains ITS1". Lineage: Eukaryota; Fungi; Basidiomycota; Agaricomycetes; Thelephorales; Thelephoraceae. The record is from RNAcentral.
CUGAACUGUUGACAUGAGUUGUUGCUGGUCCUCAAAUGGGGGCAUGUGCACGCUCUGUUUACAUACCCACUCACACCUGUGCACCCUCUGUAGUUCUGUGGUGUGGGGGACUCUGUCCCUCCUGCUGCGGUUCUAUGUCUUUACAAACACACACAUAGUGACAAAGUCUCAUAGAAUGUAUGACGCGUUUAACGCAAUACAAUA